GCAGAAGGAUCAUUAGAGAAGAUCUGGGCAGGCCAUACGGACGCCAAAAAGUGUCCCUGGCCGCCUACACCCCCGAUACAUCCACAAACCCGUGUGCACUGUCUUGGAGAAAGGCUUCAGAGAAGUUUUCAGUGGCCUCUCUUGGGGUCUUUAUUCGCUACAAACUCGAAUGGUUAGUAUGAACGUGGAACUUGGUUGGACCGUCACUGGCCAACAAACGAUACACAACUUUCGACAACGGAUCUCUUGGUUCUCCCA
RNAcentral lists this unclassified non-coding RNA (258 nucleotides) under uncultured fungus. Its description in RNAcentral is "partial contains 18S rRNA, ITS1, 5.8S rRNA". The record is from RNAcentral. Lineage: Eukaryota; Fungi.